GGGAGGGACCAGGCACACGUUACCUUACAGCAGGCAGUGUUGCUCUUCAGCGUUGAGAAAGCUGGUCAGCUUUUUAAGCUACUAUACAUUUCGACUCUUAAAAAUGAACAACACUGCCACAGUGCAUUAAGACUCUUGUGAAGUAAGUAUAAUUUCACCUGAUAACUGUGUACAAAAAGCAGACGAUAGAGUACACCCAAAGGCCACAAGGACAGGCCUCUCUUUCCCAGGGUGCAUAAAUAAAACCAUUAAUGAUGUUGACCUUUUAGGAUUUAAACUAAUAAAGAGAGAAUUAACAGUAUCAAUUCUUUGACACUCUGGCACACUGAGAACACAAUCAACAGGUGUCAGAUCUGAUUAAAACACUUAAAAAAACCAAAAAGGAGUAAUCCUGCUUCAAGCAUCAAACUUUUUGGUCAGACAGAACAGAUUAGAAAACAUGCACUAAGGUUCAAUGGAGUAUGCAUUUUAGUUUUGGGGAAAUUAAAAUGUUUAGUUAAUCUACACUUGCACAGGACUGCUCUCUUAUGCACAGUUCAACAACUUCCUGCUCAGCACUUGUCCUUAGAUAUUUCAUCAAGUCUGAUGGUACGUUUUACGUUUAAUUAAGCAAUUAAGGACCUUUUGGAAUAAGAUCCAAAAGUAAAACAGGUCCCCAGAGUGAGGUUGAGAAUCAAUCUCAUCCCACAUGGCUGUGCAGACUGCAGACAAUAAAGCUUUAAUGAUCUUAGGCACAUAACAGCAGAGCCUAAUCGAGUGCUAAUUGAAAAAACAAGAAAGAAAAUCUACUCCAGGAUAUAAUGCACAUGGUGCCCAAAAACCACGAGUUUGCUUUCAAAUCACUUCUGAUGCUGCUAUUCAUAAACCCUUAAACUCUUAAUUGUAAAUUGUUUGCUGCUGAACCCUAAAAAAAAAAAAUUCUUCACUACUACUGCCACGCCCCCUGCUUUCUGCCACAGCCCUCCCCAAGUUCAGUCACCCCUACUCUUUCUGGCACACUCCACUAUUCCUUCAGUUGGUUUUGCAUUUACUCUCCUGUUCCUAGAUCAUCAUUACACUCAUAAACUGUCUCAGACACGAACUAACUUAAAAUGCAGUACAAAAGCCCCUAGAACAGUGACUUCUAAGCCAAGUGGAGUAGAGAAAUCAUUUUAACUCCUAACUGCAUUCAUAUUCUGCAGUAAAAAAAAAGCUUCAUUUUCUCGUUAGAGGUAAAAAAAAUGUUCUGCUUUCUUAUUGAUUUUAUUUCAUCUUUUUUUCCUCCCUUGAUUCAUAGUGUCUCCUUACUAAACUGGUUACUUAGGAAUGCCUUCAUCGGUAGACUGACCAAGAUAGUCUUUCUCCUGGCACUGGAGUUCUGCAGAUACACAAUAUGUAAAUAAAAUCUAUCGGCUUUGCACUUUGGAAACCACUGCAAUAUUAAAAUGAGUUCUUUCUGGAGAACUCUGCUGUUGUAAAUCUUCAAUGCUAGGGAGCAGAGUAUCAGGGCCAGGAGCUGAGGUAACCAAUCUGACAAUUGAUAUCUUAAGCACCGUUGGUGUUGUACAGUAUUCCCCUAGAAUGCUCAUUUAUGUGUAUUAUAUUACAGAACAGUCUGUAUUUUUGUGUUAGAGAGAGAGAGCCAGAGUAUGCUGCUACGCUUCGUGUGUGUCAAAAUGCAGAGUUCUGCUUUUUGACAAAAAAAAAUGCAUGAAAAAAGACAGACCAGCAGAGUCUGAGGUAAACGGGAAAGCGAUUGGAUUGGAGUCACUUGUGCACAGGAAGUUUUGUUUUGCAUUUUGUGCAUAUAAUUGCACUAAGCACUAAUCAGCCAUGUAUUAUUACUGGGGCUGUUUCUUGAAAUCAGAUUACACUGUGCAUUUUGCAGCAAUGGUCUUUCUCAUUUUAAGCUUCAUUUAUUUUAGCUGAAUGCGUUCUGUGCAAUUCCAGAAAGGAAAAGGCAUUGCGUUGCAGAGCCGGCGAAUUGUAACAUCAGUCUUCGUUUUCUGAGCAUUAAUGAGAAGUAAUGACAGAAGGCUUUAUCAGUGAUAAUCCUACAGCAGCCUCUCUGUCUGAGCUGCACCGAGAAGGCGGCGAAGGAGCUCACAGGCAGUGCACCACGGUCCGCCCAUCCCCUCCGUCGUACUGCUCCUGCCACUUGGCGAGGCGCCGGACCAGCUGCAGGAUGGAGCGCUUGGACAGCGGCGUGUCGCGCCAGACACCGAGCUGGCUUCUGCACAGAUAAAGGGGGCCAGAACCAGCUACCCAGCCACUCAGAAAGCAGCAGGGAUCUGCAGUUACUUACCCGGGCCAUGUUGCAGAUCCUGAAGAUCCUGUUGAUGACGUCGUCGUC
Lepisosteus oculatus (spotted gar) is the source of this 2332-nucleotide long non-coding RNA. RefSeq lists it as uncharacterized. The record is from RefSeq and is a predicted model, not a curated record. Lineage: Eukaryota; Metazoa; Chordata; Actinopteri; Semionotiformes; Lepisosteidae.